Equus caballus (horse) is the source of this 5337-nucleotide long non-coding RNA. RefSeq lists it as uncharacterized. NCBI's taxonomy places the organism in Eukaryota, Metazoa, Chordata, Mammalia, Perissodactyla, Equidae. The record is from RefSeq and is a predicted model, not a curated record.
GAAAAAGCAAGCCACAAACUGGGAGAAAUUAUUUACAGAACAUAUAUCCAACAAAGCAAUUGUGCAUAGAAUAAACAAAACUCUUACAACUCAAUAAUGAAAAGACAAACCACCCAAUAAAAAAAAGGUAAAAGAUUUGAAUGGAUAAUUCACCAAAGAAGAUAUAUGAAUAUCUAAUAAGCAUUCAAAAAGCUACUCAACAUCAUUGAUGCAAUUCGUUGUAUGUCAACUAUAAUUCAAAAAAAUGUGAAAAAUAAAAUUAAUUGAUCACCUUUGGGAGUUGUAAGGGCAUCAACUCAUCAUUCUAAAAAUUAGUAGAAAACAAAAAAAGUCAAGCAACAUUGUCCAGGCUUUUCUAUGUGAAUUGUGCUUUAGGAAAACCAAAUAGUCAAUGGAAUAAUAGAAUUAGAAAACCACUAUUGUGUAAUCCUUAAUAAAAUAACAAAUCUAACAAAGAGCCUCAAUGGCUGCUAAAACCAUCAGGUUAGAGGCUGAUGUGGAAUUUCAUAACGGAUGUAUUAGGCUGACCACAUCUGAAAUCACCAGUGAAAUGAAUAUCACUAAAUGUGGAACAACCAGACACAUACUUCCUCUUGUGAUGCAAUGGUACAUAGUACCACCGAUAAUAUAUUUUUGGGAAAAAAAACUUUUAAUCUGAAUUUUAUCAAGUUUCUAGAUCUAAUUGUCAGAGGGGAUUGAAGAACAUGUUAAAGGAUGCCUUGAGGAUGCAAUUAGCUAAAUUAUGUGGGAAAUUCUACAGAUCAACAAAUAAAUAUCAUAAAAAGGAGUUGGGAAAAAGGGAACGGGUACAAAUUAAAAAGCAACGAAAGCUGUAUCGAUCAACCGCAAUGUGUGGGCCUUGUCUGGAUCUGGAUUCAAACAAACCAACUGUAAAAAUACCUUUCAGAGGUAAGUGUGGAAAUUUGAGUACAGACUAGAUAUUAGAUGAUGCAGAGGCAAUGUUAUUAAUCUUUUUAAGUGUAAUGAUGCAUGGUUAUGCUUUUUUAAAAAGUAGUUACCUGUUGGGUAUACAUACUGAAGUAUUUACAAGUUAGGUUAAACUAUAUCUGGAACUUCCUUUAAAAUAUUCCAGUGAUGGCGCAGGGGUAGGGGAGAAUGCUGUGGGAAUGAUAUCGAUGAAACAAUGUUGACAAUUCUUGAAAAUCGUGAUGGAUGGAUACAUGGGGGUUAAAUAUACUAUUUUCUCUACUUUGGGGUACGUUUGAAAUUUUCCAUAAUACAGAACUGGGGUUUUGUUUGCUGAAUUUUAAGUGGGCUGUGUUCUGACCUGCCAGAGCUCAAUAGGAGUAUUCCCUCCCUUUAACCACCUAGAGGCCAAGCGCUCAAUAUCUGCGGGGCGCGCAUGCGAGAAAUGAGUCAGAUUAAGAAAACAGCAAAGCAAGCUGGUGAAGCAGUUGCAGCGGGCACCCGCCUCUGUGUUGGGGAUUAACGGAGAGUUGUGGAACAGAAGAUCACAUGCCCAUCCAAACAGGGUAGCCAAUGUUGCCAUGUGGGAAUAAGGGCCCCAGAGGACCAAAUCUUCUAAUUUUUCAUUAGAAACUUGAAAUCUGGGCAUUUCAGUAAAAUCUCCCCAUAUGUGGGCAAAUGAUUACACAUUUUUCACACACUUUGCAAGUCAGUGCUAGAAAGCUAAACAAAACCUGUCUAGAGGCUAGAUUUGUUCCACAGACUGCUGUGUUGUGAUCCCUGACACUACACCAUGUAAUGCAUUUUAUAGUAAUGCAUUAAUAAUUGGUUGACAUUCCUAGCAAUUGGGUCAUAUGGCUGGACAACUGAGGUUGCAUCCAUCUGAAGUCCCCAAACCCUUUACAAGCAAACAGCUGUCAAGCCAGGCAUCCCCCACACUGAACUCUGAACUGAACACAGGCUCACAAUCAUCUCUAUCAAAUUGCAUCUUGUCAUGUGUCACAAACACUUGUCUCUGGAUUGACUCUACUCUUCCUCCAAAUUCUACUGAAUCUGCACUCCCUUCUGGCUUUGUAUCACACAGUGUUCACAGCCUUUCUUCAUCCACGCCAUCUACAAAGCUAACAUCCACCUGGGGUGUCAGACUUCUCUCCUGCCAGGUAUCUGCAGCUACUCAGCUAUAACUUCACCCAUCCUUCCAAGUUCGUCCACCUCAUGUUUACCCACCUUCCUCCUUGAAGCCACUAUACAUUAUAGACAGGCCUAAUCCACGAAUCUUGUGGUGACAAUAAUGCCACCUUACAUCUGUAUGGUACUUUAUGGUUUUUAAAACAUUUUUCAAAAAUUUUCUGACUUGAUCUUUAUCACCCAUCACAACCUUAAAAAAAUCCUAUCAAUAUCACAUUGUUAAAAUCUGCCAGUAGUCUGUUUGUUUAUUUGUAACUCACUAAUAAUUUCCUAGCUGGGGAUUUCUAGAUUAUGUAGACAAAGGGCAACUAAGUUAGCUUCCUUCCUUCCUAUCUCACCAUCCCACAAGAAAAAUAGUUCUCCAAACCACCACCAUUCCAGCAACAGCCAACAGGGACAGAAACAAGAUUGAAGAGGAAGAAUGUUCUAACUGUGAGAGUUGACAGAAAAUGGAAUGGUUUGCCUUGUGAAGAAAUGAGGUUUUGAUGCUGGAAGUUUUCAACUAGGAGCUGGGGUUUUGUAGAAGGGAUUCCAACGUGGAUAGGCAGUUGGGCAGAUGAUCUCUCAUUCAUUUGUUUCCAUCCAUGUGGGGAAGCUGCUCUGUGCUCAGCUCUCAGGAGUACCUGACCAGUUCUUGUAGUGAGCAGACUCUGAAGGGCAGAAGCCUACACUUGGUGAGGUUUUAUUGCUUUGUACAUUUUAAAAUUAAUUCCCUUUUUAAAAGCAGUUCUCAGCAAAUUUUCUUUUAAAAAUGCCAAACUUUUCUCCAUUGUUCAAGAAGAGAGAGAAUCCAUACAAUGGAAUAUGGUUCAGCCAUAAAAAGAAACGAAGUACUGAUACCAGGUAGGAUAUGGGUGAAUCUUGAAAACUCAAAGACGCCAGUCACAAAAGACCACGUAUUAUAUGAUUCCAUUCAUAUGAAAGUCCAGAAUAGGGAAAUGUAUAGAGACAGAAAGUAGAUUAGUGGUUACUUAGGGCUGGGGUGGGGGGCCAGAGGGGUGAUAGCUAAAUGAUACAGGGUUUGUUACUGAGGUGAUAAAAAUGCUCUAACAGUGACUGUGGUGAUGGUUGCGCGUAUCUGUGGAUAUGCUAAACUCCAUUGAAUUGUACACUUUACAUGGGCUAAUUGUAUGGUAUGUGAAUUAUAUCUCAAUAAAGCUGUUUUUUUUUUUUAAUUAAGCGAACUUUUAAAAAAUUGGAUAGAUUUUUGUUCCAGGCUUUGGCUAGAUUUCUAAAGGGAGUUCUCCCUGCUGAGGAUAAGCCUGUGCGAGAGGCUCUGGUCGGGGGAGGAACUGGCCGCCAGGUUAGGGGAGGGGGGUGGAGUUUCUCACAUUUCAGUCGCCUUGAGGCCCCCCCAUUCUGAAUCCGGGGCUGGGGUUAGUAGCCAAGGGGACAGACAAGGCUCCACCCUCAGCCCACUUUCUCUGAGCUUUCUAGGUCUUGCUUCUCACCACUCCUGGUAGUAUUUCCACCCCAGGUUUUAACUACUAGCACUUCCAUAAAAACAGCUGAAACCACUCUUUUGGGAGAACGCGCCCGGGAGGCCUCUCACCCCAACUAAACUGGUUCCCUGCUUCGUCCACACCUCCUGGGGAUGUGAUGCACCCCCUCAUCCUUGUCAACGCAGCCCCCGCGUCUCCGAGGGGUGUUCCUGUGCUGGCUUCAAAAACCAGCUGGCCACACGGGGGGAGGGAGAUUUUCUGGCCCCGGGAGGUCUUCUGAACCUGGGAUUUGAGGCAUGCAUGAAACGACACCCGCCACUCGAACAUCACUAGAAGACGUCUGCUCUCCGUUUUGCCAGCGAAUUCCACCACUCCAGACUGACACCGGGAGAAGAGGCGCGAAAUGGGGAGGGGAAACGCCCUAGGCAAUUUCUCAAACUCUGCAAAUCCGCCCAGGGAGGCCCGGGUGUCUGGGUAUGGGAGAAGGGGGUCUAGGGGUCUCUGCAGAUCUGAGGGAGGGGGUAAUGACUAGUUAUUACUAGUUUAGGAAGGGAGCGGCUGCUGCACUAGCGCCCCCGCGCCGGGCCUCGGGCCCCAAAUCCCGCGAGUGGUCGCCCAGCUCGGGCCCCGCCACCCAGCGCGCGCCGCGCUGCACCCUGCCCUGGGCAAGGGGCAGCGACCGGGAACCCGGGCCUGGUCGCGGCGCCAGGAGCUCGGACACGCCCGGUGUUUUCGAUUUCGAUGCCCAAGCAGGGCCCCAUCACCGCUGCAGCGUCUUGGGACCUCCCGUCCGCAUCCCCGGGACUGGGUGUCGUUAAAGGAAACGCCUAGGAGGAGAACUAGGAGGGAGCAGUAGGCAAACGUCCGGGUUCGACCGGCUGGAUGGUGCGAGAGAGCAACAAGUCGCUUGGAAAGUGGGUAAGAGGCUCCACUGCGAGCUGCUUCCUGCCUGCGGCGGAGCGGGACGUGCGCGCAGAGAACUCAGAGACAGGAACUGAGAAGGCUAAAGAGAGACUAACUCGGUCCCUUGGGCAAGGAGAUAAAAGGAAGGUCCGGUACCCAAAAGGGACGUGCUCCAGGUGAGCGAACUGCGGCAGAGCUGAGGUUACCUAAGUAAGCGGUAGAGCUGGGAGUUCUCCAUGCCCGCCACUCUAUACAGAGUCGAGUGCUCAAUUUGCCACUGGAGAAGGAGACCCUGGAGAAUGCCUGGCAUUUAGACUGUGCCUCUCAUGGGUUACCCUCAAGAGAGGCACUAGUCAGGCUCACUUGCAUGAUGGUGGCCAAAGGGCCUUAACUUGAAACCUGGGAAAGACCGGACAGAACUAGGACCAGGAGGGAGAGGUGAAAACCAGCACCCAGGUAUGGUGGGCACCUGAAUGCCCGAAGCCCUCCCGCUGAGAAGAUGGGGUAGUUCCUGUGUCUCUUAAGGCAAGCGUUGAACCUGAACCUACUGGACCAGGUACAGGAUGGCAGGUCUUAGAGACGAAGCACGGAAAAUGAUGGGGUCUCCCUUUAAGAGGAGGAAGGAAGAGUCUUAACGGAGACAGCCAUGGAACUCUGGGGUUUCAGUGACACUCAGGGCGUUCUUUGGGUCAAAAUUUUAGUGUGAGUAAGACAGGUCACCUUUGAUCAUGUCUCUGUUCAGCCAACAACUGACUGAGUGGCUUCAAUAAUAUUCCUUUGCACGGACACACCACAGUUGAUUUAGUCGUUCUCCUAUUAAUGGACAUCUUGGAUUAUUUCUUGUUUGGAGCUAUUAUAAAUACAACUGCUAAGAGCA